This 492-nucleotide ribosomal RNA is filed under the name uncultured bacterium. RNAcentral describes it as "partial 16S ribosomal RNA". It matches the Rfam family "Bacterial small subunit ribosomal RNA", at positions 29 to 507 of the family's 1533-position model. The record is from RNAcentral.
AGUGAACGCUGGCGGUAGGCCUAACACAUGCAAGUCGAACGGCAGCACAGUAAGUGCUUGCUCUUACGGGUGGCGAGUGGCGGACGGGUGAGGAAUACAUCGGAAUCUACUUUUUCGUCGGGGAUAACGUAGGGAAACUUACGCUCAUACCGCAUACGACCUACGGGUGAAAGCAGGGGAUAUUCGGACCUUGCGCGAUUGAAUGAGCCGAUGUCGGAUUAGCUAGUUGGGGGGGUAAAGGCCCACCAAGGCGACGAUCCGUAGCUGGUGUGAGAGGAUGGUCGGCCACACUGGAACGGGGACACGGUCCAGACUCCUACGGGAGGCAGCAGUGGGGAAUGUUGGGCAAUGGGCGCAAGCCUGGUCCAGCCAUACCGCGUGGGUGAAGAAGGCCUUCGGGUUGUAAAGCCCUUUUUUUGGGAAAGAAAAGCAGCAGGUUGAUACGCCGCUGUUCUGACGGUACCCAAAGAAUAAGCACCGGCUAACUACGUG